GGCUACCACAUCCAAGGAAGGCAGCAGGCGCGCAAAUUACCCAAUCCCGACACGGGGAGGUAGUGACAAUAAAUACUGAUACGGGGCUCUUUUGGGUCUCGUAAUUGGAAUGAGUACAAUCUAAAUCCCUUAACGAGGAACAAUUGGAGGGCAAGUCUGGUGCCAGCAGCCGCGGUAAUUCCAGCUCCAAUAGCGUAUAUUAAAGUUGUUGCAGUUAAAAAGCUCGUAGUUGAACCUUGGGUCUGGCUGGCCGGUCCGCCUCACCGCGAGUACUGGUCCGGCUGGACCUUUCCUUCUGGGGAACCUCAUGGCCUUCACUGGCUGUGGGGGGGAACCAGGACUUUUACUGUGAAAAAAUUAGAGUGUUCAAAGCAGGCCUUUGCUCGAAUACAUUAGCAUGGAAUAAUAGAAUAGGACGUGCGGUUCUAUUUUGUUGGUUUCUAGGACCGCCGUAAUGAUUAAUAGGGACAGUCGGGGGCGUCAGU
Molecule: ribosomal RNA, 485 nt
Filed under: Aspergillus fischeri
Lineage: Eukaryota; Fungi; Ascomycota; Eurotiomycetes; Eurotiales; Aspergillaceae
Description: SSU rRNA
Rfam family: Eukaryotic small subunit ribosomal RNA
Source: RNAcentral